GAUGAACGCUGGCGGCGUGCCUAAUACAUGCAAGUCGAGCGAACAGACGAUGAGCUUGCUCCUCUGACGUUAGCGGCGGACGUGUGAGUAACACGUGUAUAACCUACCUAUAAGACUGGUAUAACUUCGGGAAACCGGAGCUAAUACCGGAUAAUAUAUUGAACCGCAUUGUUCAAUAGUGAAAGACGGUGUUGCUGUCAGGUAUAGAUGGAUCCGCGCUGCAUUAGCUAGUUGGUAAGGUAACGGCUUACCAAGGCGAGGAUGCGUAACCGAGCUGAGAGGGUGAUCGCCCACAUUGGAACUGAGACACGGUCCAGAGUCCUGCGGGAGGCAGCAGUAGGGAAUCUUCCGCAAUGGGCGAAAGCCUGACGGAGCAACGGCGCGUGAGUGAUGACGGUCUUCGGUUCGUAAAACUCUGUUAUUAGGGAAGAACCGCUGUGUAAGUAACUAUGCACGUCUUGACGGUACCUAAUCAGAAAGCCACGGCUAACUACGUG
Molecule: ribosomal RNA, 497 nt
Filed under: uncultured bacterium
Lineage: Bacteria
Description: partial 16S ribosomal RNA
Rfam family: Bacterial small subunit ribosomal RNA
Source: RNAcentral